UUUUCCUCAAGUCACAUGUGAGAACAGAAGAUGCUGCUGGACAAGCUGAUGCUCCACGCAGUACUUGGAAGAAGCUCAAGACGGGUUAAACAGUUACGAAGGGGCUUAAAAGAGACGCUGAUCUGGCCUUUGCUAACUGAGAGGAAAGACACAAUUCCCCUCCUCUUUCCAAGAGCAUGUGAUGUACAGCGCACACCACAGGUUGGUGUGAAGGUGUGAAGGUGUGGACUCUGCUAUGAAU
Non-coding RNA from Gasterosteus aculeatus aculeatus (three-spined stickleback), 241 nucleotides. Lineage: Eukaryota; Metazoa; Chordata; Actinopteri; Perciformes; Gasterosteidae. The record is from RefSeq and is a predicted model, not a curated record.